This 483-nucleotide ribosomal RNA is filed under the name Eenymeenymyzostoma sp. LT-2017. RNAcentral's name for it is "partial 16S ribosomal RNA". It matches the Rfam family "Bacterial large subunit ribosomal RNA", at positions 1807 to 2610 of the family's 2925-position model. Lineage: Eukaryota; Metazoa; Annelida; Myzostomida; Eenymeenymyzostomatidae. The record is from RNAcentral.
UCAAAAACAUUUCCUAUAGUAUUUAUUUUUUAGGUAAACCCUGCUCCAUGUUUAUAUAAAUAGCUGCAUUUGUACUAAGGUAGCAUAAUAAUUUGCCUUUUAAUUAAAGGAUAGAAUGAAUGGGUUAAUGAAAUAAUCUCUGUCUCUAUACUAUAAAUAAAAAUUUAUCUAAAAGUGAAAAAGCUUUUAUUCAAUAAAAAGACAAAAAGACCCUAUCGAGCUUAUCUAUAAAUUAAUAAUAUAGAUUUUGUUGGGGCAACAUAAAUUUUAUCAAUCAAUUUAAUUUCUUUAGAAUUAUAUCUUUAUAAAAAUCCAAUUAUAUUGAAUAAAUUAAAGUUACCGUAGGGAUAACAGGCUAAUAUUCUUAAAGAGUUCUAAUCGAUAAGAGUGUUUGGCACCUCGAUGUUGGCUUAUAAUUUCUUUAUAGGGCAGUUUCUAUAAAUGUUGGUUUGUUCAACCAUUAAAAUUUUACAUGAUCUGAGU